UCCUUGUAGGGUGAACCUGCGGAGGGAUCAUUA
This 33-nucleotide ribosomal RNA is filed under the name Trichoderma harzianum. Its description in RNAcentral is "partial 18S ribosomal RNA". Lineage: Eukaryota; Fungi; Ascomycota; Sordariomycetes; Hypocreales; Hypocreaceae. The record is from RNAcentral.